AUUGAACGCUGGCGGCAUGCCUAACACAUGCAAGUCGAACGCCCCGCAAGGGGAGUGGCGCACGGGUGAGUAACGCGUGGGAACCUGCCCCGGAGUGGGGGAUAACCCGGCGAAAGCCGGGCUAAUACCGCAUACGGCCUGAGGGCGAAAGAUUUAUCGCUCUGGGAGGGGCCCGCGUCCGAUUAGCUAGUUGGUGAGGUAACGGCUCACCAAGGCGACGAUCGGUAGCUGGUCUGAGAGGAUGAUCAGCCACACUGGGACUGAGACACGGCCCAGACUCCUACGGGAGGCAGCAGUGGGGAAUAUUGGACAAUGGGGGCAACCCUGAUCCAGCAAUGCCGCGUGAGUGAUGAAGGCCUUAGGGUUGUAAAGCUCUUUCGGCGGGGACGAUGAUGACGGUACCCGCAGAAGAAGCCCCGGCUAACUUCGUGCCAGCCGCCGCGGUAA
RNAcentral lists this ribosomal RNA (447 nucleotides) under uncultured bacterium. Its description in RNAcentral is "partial 16S ribosomal RNA". It matches the Rfam family "Bacterial small subunit ribosomal RNA", at positions 28 to 523 of the family's 1533-position model. The record is from RNAcentral.